Non-coding RNA from Danio rerio (zebrafish), 257 nucleotides. The record is from RefSeq and is a predicted model, not a curated record. Lineage: Eukaryota; Metazoa; Chordata; Actinopteri; Cypriniformes; Danionidae.
GUGUGACGUCACAAGGCUGCGCCGCUUCCGCGCUGCGGUUCAACUGGAGGAAGGAUAAAGUGUCCAAACACAGAGAAAAACUCCUGCUGAAGCGACUGAUCUACACACUGUUAUAAAGAUGGCGUUUAUUAAAGAGGAGAGUGAAGAUGUGAAGAUUGAAGAAACAUUCAGAGUGAAAAAGGAAGAUCCGCCGGAACAAACAGACCUAAUUGAAGAGAAUGAGAGGAAAGAGGAGGAACAUCAUAUCAAAAUUGAGG